GGGAAUUCAAGCUUUAACUUUUAAUUCAAGCCAAACUGCAGAUGUUUUUAAAGUAUUCGACUUAAACUAAGACUUCAUUAGCAUAGUCAUGUCCCUGAUGGUCUAGUGGCUAGGAUUCGGCGCUUUCACCGCCGCGGCCCGGGUUCAAUUCCCGGUCAGGGAAAUGAGAUUUAGAGUUUGGAAUUCCAGAUCCAACUUUUAAUUCAAGCAAAAUUGCAGAUGUUUUUAAAGUAUUCGACUCAAACUAUGACUUCAUUUGCAUAAUUGUGUCCCUGAUGGUCUAGUGGCUAGGAUUCGGCGCUCUCACCGCCGCGGCCCGGGUUCAAUUCCCGGUCAGGGAAAUCAGAUAUAAAGUGUUAAAUUCCUAGUCGGGGAAUUGAAACUCUAAAUUUUAAUUCAAGCCAAACUACAGAUGUUUUUAAAGCAUUCGACAUGAACGAUGACUUCAUUUGCAUAAUUGUGUCCCUGAUGGUCUAGUGGCUAGGAUUCGGCGCUCUCACCGCUGCGGCCCGGGUUCAAUUCCCGGUCAGGGAAAUCAUAUAUAAAGUGUUAAAUUCCUGGUCAGGGAAUUCAAGCCAAACUGCAGAUGUUUUUAAAGUUUUCGACUUAAACUAAGACUUCAUUUGCAUAAUUGUGUCCCUGAUGGUCUAGUGGCUAGGAUUCGGCGCUCUCACCGCCGCGGCCCGGGUUCAAUUCCCGGUCAGGGAAAUGAGACUUAGAGUUUGGUAUUCCAGAUCCAACUUUUAAUUCAAGCCAAACUGCAGAUGUUUUUAAAGUUUUCGACUUAAACUAAGACUUCAUUAGCAUACCAAACUACAGAUGUUUUUAAAGCAUUCGACUUAAACUAUGACUCCAUUUGCAUAAUUGUGUCCCUGAUGGUCUAGUGGCUAGGAUUUGGCGCCUUCACCGCCGCGGCCCGCGUUCAAUUCCCGGUCAGGGAAAUCAUAUAUAAAGUGUUAAAUUCCUGGUCAGGGAAUUCAAGCCAAACUGCAGAUGUAUUUAAAGUAUUCGACUUAAACUAAGACUUCAUUUGCAUAAUUGUCUCCCUGAUGGUCUAGUGGCUAGGAUUCGGCGCUCUCACCGCCGCGGCCCGGGUUCAAUUCCCGGUCAGGGAAAUCAGAUAUAAAGUGUUAAAUUCCUAGGGCUGGAAUUGAAACUCUAAAUUUUAAUUCAAGCCAAACUACAGAUGUUUUUAAAGUUUUCGACUUAAACUAAGAC
Long non-coding RNA from Gasterosteus aculeatus aculeatus (three-spined stickleback), 1218 nucleotides. The record is from Ensembl. NCBI's taxonomy places the organism in Eukaryota, Metazoa, Chordata, Actinopteri, Perciformes, Gasterosteidae.